Molecule: long non-coding RNA, 248 nt
Organism: Eptesicus fuscus (big brown bat)
Lineage: Eukaryota; Metazoa; Chordata; Mammalia; Chiroptera; Vespertilionidae
Exons: 3
Source: RefSeq, a predicted model, not a curated record
CUUCAAGAACAUAACUUCUAACAAAACUACAGACUGACCUAUGUGGGUGGAAGACACCAUGAGAAUACAGCCGUUUACAAGCCAGAAAGUGGAUCUUCACCAGAACCUGACAGUGCCAACACCCUGAAGGUGGACUUCCAGCUUCCAGAACUGUGAGCAAGUCUUCUUUAAAUCCUCUCAAAGAGAGCUGCAUUUCCCAACCGAGGCACAUGAGAGACUCUGCAGACCCAGCAGGAAAUCUCUAACUG